GCCUGGACCAGUAGGAUCCAGAUCACAGAUUAAACCAGGAUACAGAUCCUAAUGGCCCCUGCUACUGAAGGUAACUGCCUGGACCAGUAGGAUCCAGAUCACAGAUUAAACCAGGAUACAGAUCCUAAUGGCCCCUGCUACUGAAGGUAACUGCCUGGACCAGUAGGAUCCAGAUCACAGAUUAAACCAGGAUACAGAUCCUAAUGGCCCCUGCUACUGAAGGUAACUCCCUGGAACAGUAGGAUCCAGAUCACAGAUUAAACCAGGAUACAGAUCCUAAUGGCCCCUGCUACUGAAGGUUAAUGCCUGGACCAGUAGGAUCCAGAUCCUAAUGGCCCCUGCUACUGAAAGUUAAUGCCUGGACCAGUAGGAUCCAGAUCACAGAUUAAUCCAGGAUCCAGGUUCAUUCGUGAUGACGCUCCUGUAAUGUACUAGGUUGUGUAAACCGGGUCAGAUCUAGAACUGAUGCUCCCUGCUGUCAUGUGACGUGAUGAUCUAGUUUAUCCAUUCGCUGAGCCGCAGCCGUCUUGUCUCUGCUCUGCUCCCGUUUUGGGGGCGGGGCCUUUCUGCUGAGGUUCCAGGUUCUUGCUGGCGUUCUGCUGGUUCUGACCCGGAACCGCACGGAGAGAAGGACUCGACCCGACUGCUACCAAGACGAUUAACUGUUCUGAUCA
This is a long non-coding RNA of Pleuronectes platessa (European plaice), 674 nucleotides long. RefSeq lists it as uncharacterized. The transcript has 2 exons. NCBI's taxonomy places the organism in Eukaryota, Metazoa, Chordata, Actinopteri, Pleuronectiformes, Pleuronectidae. The record is from RefSeq and is a predicted model, not a curated record.